ACGGGGGCAGCAGUGGGGAAUAUUGCACAAUGGGCGAAAGCCUGAUGCAGCGACGCCGCGUGAGUGAUGAAGUAUUUCGGUAUGUAAAGCUCUAUCAGCAGGGAAGAUAAUGACGGUACCUGACUAAGAAGCACCGGCUAAAUACGUGCCAGCAGCCGCGGUAAUACGUAUGGUGCAAGCGUUAUCCGGAUUUACUGGGUGUAAAGGGAGCGCAGGCGGUACGGCAAGUCUGAUGUGAAAGCCCGGGGCUCAACCCCGGUACUGCAUUGGAAUCUGUCGAACUAGAGUGUCGGAGGGGUAAGUGGAAUUCCUAGUGUCGCGGUGAAAUGCGUAGAUAUUAGGAGGAACACCAGUGGCGAAGGCGGCUUACUGGACGAUAACUGACGCUGAGGCUCGAAAGCGUGGGGAGCAAACAGGAUUAGAUACCCUGGUA
This 433-nucleotide ribosomal RNA is filed under the name uncultured Lachnospiraceae bacterium. Its description in RNAcentral is "partial 16S ribosomal RNA". It matches the Rfam family "Bacterial small subunit ribosomal RNA", at positions 341 to 792 of the family's 1533-position model. The record is from RNAcentral. Lineage: Bacteria; Bacillati; Bacillota; Clostridia; Lachnospirales; Lachnospiraceae.